Prinia subflava (tawny-flanked prinia) is the source of this 3604-nucleotide long non-coding RNA. RefSeq lists it as uncharacterized. The record is from RefSeq and is a predicted model, not a curated record. The transcript has 3 exons. Lineage: Eukaryota; Metazoa; Chordata; Aves; Passeriformes; Cisticolidae.
GACAAAAUGACUUUCUAUCACUUAUUUCUACCCUAAUAUGACAGACAAUCAAAGAGUAGUUCUAACAAACCAAAAAUCAUUUUUGACACAUAAAAUCUUUUUUAACUUCUUACUCUGCCAAUGCCAUGACAGCGUACUUCAUUUCUGUCCCAAUCAGUUCUUCAAGGAGCAGCCCAAGCUAUCAGUUAACCACUUCUAAUUUAAGUAAGUUCAUCUGCUCAGUAAGAUAUCUUAAAAAGUUAUGUUAAGAGAAUGCUUUUUUUGAUAAGCACAGACACAGUUAUCAGAUGCUGUGCUACAUCAAGGCCCAGAACAACACAGCUGCCGAGUCACGAAGAUGGGGAAAGCAGGGUAGCACAACAGGACCCCUCCAGCCUUCCACGUCAGUCACUGCUCCACUGCACCAAACACCUGCUCUGUACAACUGCUGAUAAAGAGAAUUUACCUAGUUUUAUUCUAAGUAUUCCAUGAAUGACUAUUCUGUGUUCACACAGUUAAAAGCAACCUACAAACAAAAUUUUUCAGUACCAAGAAGCAUUAAGCAAAGGACAGAAGUUAGUGAAUUGAACAUGCUAAAGUGUUGUAGAAGAAUUUAGGACAUACAGUUCUCUGCCCAUUCAAUGUCCCACAGAUUUAACAUAACAGUGCCUGAGCUGAUACCCAAAUUUCCUUGCAGCUUUUAAACAUUUGAACAGUAUCAAGAUAAAAUGUAGGUUACGUAACCAAAAGGGCAUAUUAUAUUUCUUCUUUUAUUCAAAAGGCCCACUUAAUUCAUUCCCUCAGGUUAAAUUCCCUUUCCCCCUUUUUAAAGGGAAAGCCAUGUGACUUGUACUAUUAUGAUCAUAACAUUAUUUUUAUUCAGCUGAUAUACCACCAUCACAGCAAAACACUACAUGAUCACACCUGAAUUUUGCAUGACAACUCCAUAGAACAGUCAAAGUAACUAAAUAUCUCUGAGAUGCACAGAAAAGGAGCAGCUUCAAUACCAUUUGGAAAAACAAGCUACCAUGCUAUAGAUCUCUCUCCUUUUAUAGAGAAAAAAAAAAGAAAAAAAAGAAAAAAAAAGAAAAAAAAGGGAAAGACAACCCCAAAACUGCCAGACAAAUCCAUUCUACCACAUAGAAAAGGUAUCUGGCUCUGCAAACACUGGUGAAACCUAUCCAUCCCACCACUUCCAUAAAGUAGCAGGUUAAAACAUAUUAAUAAUAAAUAAUAAUAAUAAGUGGAAUUAAUACCUCAAAAUUUCUGAAACAGUACAACCCAGAGUAUUUCUGUAAUUACAACUUGACUAUGUUGCACCUCCUUGCAAAUGGAAAACAGACCAACUUCAGUCAAAAAUGACAGAUUUGUUUCCACCCAAUGUGACCUGAAAUAGCCUCUAAUGUUUUUCAGAAAUUUCAAAAGCAAUCACACAUGGCUGUUCUCAAGUAAAAAAGGGAGACACGGAUCAGUUACAGUGCUUUUGUAGGUUGCUACAACAAAACAAGCACUGCCACCUCACAGAGACCCAGCACAGUCCAAGAACACUGCUGCUCACUUGAGAGGACAUCUGUCCACUGAGGGAAAGCUCUAACUACAGGGUUCCAAAAGUUGUGUCUAUUUUAACAACUACUAUUUACUUGACAUUUCCAGGCAACAUUACAAAUAACAACUCUGUGCAACAGCUCUACAGUUGAAAUUUUGCAGCAGUAUUUGUGGCUGUCCAGGAUGCUUGAGUCUUGGAGAGCAGAGUAGAACAACUCUCCUGAUUUCAGCAAGAGGUUUGUUGCCUUCUGACCAGCAGAAUCAGAUGAAGAACCCUGAAUUAAUACUGACCUUUAAAAGAAGCUGGUAUUUUGUUAUCCUUUGGACAGGUUUGAUAAGCAGGAAAAAAAUUAAAAAACAGGAUAACCAGAUAUUCCACGCACAGUGAAUCAUCAUGCUGUGCAUCUGCCUGCUCACUUGGUACAAACAGAAGAUGAUUAUCUCUGAGAGUAUCUGUGAAACAUUUCAACAAACCUAAAUACAAAGAGCAACAAUUAGGAACAUGGAACGUGUGGCAACACCUUUUUUAAAAACAUUAAGAUCUGUACUUCUUCUGCUAAUUGCAAGAGAAGAAAAACCCUCACACUCCAGUGCUCCUGGGAAGAGGCAGCAGUACCAGGAAGGCUGAGGUGGAAGGUUCUCAGCAUCCCCUGCUAUUUCAGUGCCAACAGCCACAGACAGCCUCAUCCCCACCAGAGGGAGCACCGAGUAACAGUUUCUGACUGAAGGAAAGAGGUUCCCAAGAAAAAACAGCCACUUAAAAAUAGAAUAAAGAAUGACCUCAACGAAGUUAAAGGUGGAAAACAGAAUUACCUGAUAGCUAAAUGGGAUGAUUACAGAUUUCAGGUACUGACUGGGGCUGAACUCCGCUGACAGGGUCUGCCAUUUAUCAUAGCAUUGGAUCUACUUUAACCAAGCAAUUUCAAACAGCAAGUUCUGCCCCACAGCCGCGUGCCAUCUAGCCGUGGUUACAGUGAAUGCGAUACAUAUGAUAUUUUCACAUGGACCAGUGGUGUCAUCAGUGGAAGCACUCGAGUCCUCUGUGCACAGAAUUAAGUCGUCACACAUCUAAUAUAAUUUAGGAGGAUUAGGGGAUGGAGAGCUCUGGAUAUAGUGGUAAAAUAGAUUGAUCAAAGGAGGUGGUGGCAAGAAUUUAUUUCCAAUAGUUUUAUCAGAGCCCUGUGUUAUUUUUCAAUAUGGCAUUUACAAAAUUUUUCUUUGAAUUUUUUUUGGUCAUAUCUACCUGAUUUUCUGUAACUUACCUGCUCCUCUUCAAACACUGAAAACUUAACGGAGGCUUCACAGAAAGACUUUGCCUUACAAUGUUUAGAAACCCCAUUUCCUCAGUGAUUAGACUUUUGAGAUUAACCCCAAGGGCUUCAGGGAUUUCCUCUACUUCCCUCUACUUGUACAAACAAUUCUAAAAAAAUUGUGGUGUCAUUACACAGCUAGUGGCUCAGCUGGGGGGAAAGAAAAAAAAUGGAAAAAGAAAGCACUCUAGUCGAAUCAUCAGCUAAUACAUGUCCAACCAAAACUCAUUCACUGUGGCAAAAAUUCCUCCCUAAAACCUCUAACACAUCUACAUUUUUGUCAUCCUUUUAUGCAGAAUAUUACAUGUAUAGACCAUGGAACUGAAUAAGGAGGUUCAGCCCUUCUGAAUAACAGCAGUGAACUGAAUUACCACUACAUGCAGUUACAGUUUAAAAGUGCUCCAAAAUUUUAAGCAAGAUUUCUAUCUCUAUUACAUACAAUGCAAACUAAGCACAUCAAAAUUUGCUAAGAUGUGCAGGAAGUGCUUGUGUGAACUGAAGAUUCAUGUCUUGGUUGUUGUCUGCCAGAACCUGCUUCCAGUUCUGAACCACUCUGAUAUGUGACAGUGACUUUUCACAUCUGAUUUGACAGCUCUGUAACACCGACUGAGCAAUGGAAGUUAACCACGUGAGACACAGGAUUGAUUUCCUUAAGCUGACAGCUUAAUAAAUUGCAGCACUAUUAACAGGAACUUGCAUUUUCUUAACAAAUUAGGCACUCAGCAGAACUGCAAAUACCUGAGUCAAACAGGCAAGGCGCGCUUCUAAGA